UACGGAGGGGGCUAGCGUUGUUCGGAAUUACUGGGCGUAAAGCGCACGUAGGCGGCUUUGUAAGUUAGAGGUGAAAGCCCGGGGCUCAACUCCGGAAUUGCCUUUAAGACUGCAUCGCUAGAAUUGUGGAGAGGUAAGUGGAAUUCCGAGUGUAGAGGUGAAAUUCGUAGAUAUUCGGAAGAACACCAGUGGCGAAGGCGACUACCUGGCCUGUUCUUGACGCUGAGGCGCGAAAGCUAGGGGAGCAAACGGG
Molecule: ribosomal RNA, 253 nt
Filed under: uncultured bacterium
Lineage: Bacteria
Description: partial 16S ribosomal RNA
Rfam family: Bacterial small subunit ribosomal RNA
Source: RNAcentral